UUCGGUGUUAAUUGCUCACAACCAAUGCUGAAUCCAGUUUCGAAGUGAGCUAGUUUUUCUGAUAGAAAUUUCAGUGCUUGCAAGGCAACAAGAGAAUGGUGUCAAAGUUGUUGAAACAUUUAGAAUCAACCACUGUGCCUGAUGAAGGCACAAAUGAAAGAGACAAGGCCAAUCGUUAUCCAGCAUGCAAAUAGAUUUAAGAAAACCGAUCACCUUGUCUGUAUGUAAAUAUUAUCAUGCCGGAGACAUUUUAAAAUCGAUAAGGC
Rhinichthys klamathensis goyatoka is the source of this 266-nucleotide long non-coding RNA. RefSeq lists it as uncharacterized. Lineage: Eukaryota; Metazoa; Chordata; Actinopteri; Cypriniformes; Leuciscidae. The record is from RefSeq and is a predicted model, not a curated record. The transcript has 2 exons.